GGAGGAGGAGUGCAGUGGGGGAGUGAGGGAGUGGAGGGGUAGAGGGGCUUCCGCUUGGCUGGGGUCUAUAGGAGAGAGGGGGAAAGGACUGUUUAAACAGAGGGGGAAAAGAGGAGAGGAAAGGGGGUGGAGUUGAGGACUAUGUUAUGGUAUCAGAGGAGGAGAAGAGCGGGAAUAUAUCUUUAGGAAGAAGAGAAGAGAGAAUAUAUCUGUAGGAAGAAGAGAAGAGGGAAUAUAUCUUUAGGAAGAAGAGAAGAGAGGGAAUAUAUCUGUAGGAAGAAGAGAAGAGAGAGAAUAUAUCUUUAGGAAGAAGAGAAGAGAGGGAAUAUAUCUUUAGGAAGAAGAGAAGAGAGGGAAUAUAUCUGUAGGAAGAAGAGAAGAGAGGGAAUAUAUCUGUGUAGGAAGAAGAGAAGAGAGGGAAUAUAUCUGUAGGAAGAAGAGAAGAGGUAAUAUAUCUGUAGGAAGAAGAGAAGAGAGGGAAUAUAUCUGUAGGAAGAAGAGAAGAGGUAAUAUAUCUGUAGGAAGAAGAGAAGAGAGGGAAUAUAUCUGUAGGAAGAAGAGAAGAGGUAAUAUAUCUGUAGGAAGAAGAGAAGAGAGGGAAUAUAUCUGUGUAGGAAGAAGAGAGGAUAGGGAAUAUAUCUGUAGGAAGAAGAGAAGAGAGGGAAUAUAUCUGUGUAGGAAGAAGAGAAGAGAGGGGGAUUAUAUCCGUGCUCCAGAGAAGGAGAGGGAGGGGGAAUGGGCAUGUGGUAUAGGAGGAGAGUAAAAGGGGAAUGGGUAUGUGGUAUAGGAGGAGAGUAAAGGGGGAAUGGGUAUGUGGUAUAGGAGGAGAGUAAAGGGGGAAUGUGUAUGUGGUAUAGGAGGAGAGAGGGAAUACGUGCCAAUGCUCCACUGCAGUACCAUAGAGGGUGGGGUCUCAGAGCACGUCUGCAG
RNAcentral lists this long non-coding RNA (930 nucleotides) under Salmo salar (Atlantic salmon). RNAcentral describes it as "lncRNA (ENSSSAG00000116191.1)". Lineage: Eukaryota; Metazoa; Chordata; Actinopteri; Salmoniformes; Salmonidae. The record is from RNAcentral.